UAGCUGAAUACAUAGGCUAACGAGGCGAACCGGGGGAACUGAAACAUCUAAGUACCCCGAGGAAAAGAAAUCAACCGAGAUUCCCCCAGUAGCGGCGAGCGAACGGGGAACAGCCCAGAGCCUGAAUCAGCUUGUGUGUCAGUG
Molecule: ribosomal RNA, 144 nt
Filed under: Cronobacter malonaticus 507
Lineage: Bacteria; Pseudomonadati; Pseudomonadota; Gammaproteobacteria; Enterobacterales; Enterobacteriaceae
Description: Large Subunit Ribosomal RNA; lsuRNA; LSU rRNA
Rfam family: Bacterial large subunit ribosomal RNA
Source: RNAcentral